Molecule: long non-coding RNA, 304 nt
Organism: Thunnus maccoyii (southern bluefin tuna)
Lineage: Eukaryota; Metazoa; Chordata; Actinopteri; Scombriformes; Scombridae
Exons: 3
Source: RefSeq, a predicted model, not a curated record
UGGUAUGAAUGCAGCUUAAAUCCACAGAAGAACUGUGGCAACUUCUCCAAGAUGCAGGAACAACUGACCUGCCAAAUACCUGGAAAACUAUGUGCCGGUGUACCGGGGAGAACUGCUGCUGUUUUCAAACUGGAAAUGGCGGCCGAAGACGUUGUAACUACAGUGACCAUCACUACAUUAUACAAAUUGAUUGAGCUGUGGCUUUGUGGCUCUCCCCCUCCCGCUGCUGGAAAGCUGCACCUUUGUUCUCUUUGGUAUUUUUGAAGCCAGACUGUUGGGAGGCCCUUUCUGUACCCUCCCACCC